AUACGUAGGGGGCAAGCGUUGUCCGGAUUUAUUGGGCGUAAAGAGCGUGUAGGCGGCCAUACAGGUCCGUUGUGAAAACUGGAGGCUUAACCUCCAGACGUCGAUGGAAACCGUAUGGCUAGAGUCCGGAAGAGGAGAGUGGAAUUCCUGGUGUAGCGGUGAAAUGCGCAGAUAUCAGGAAGAACACCCGUGGCGAAGGCGGCUCUCUGGGACGGUACUGACGCUGAGACGCGAAAGCGUGGGGAGCGAACA
Molecule: ribosomal RNA, 252 nt
Filed under: uncultured prokaryote
Description: partial 16S ribosomal RNA
Rfam family: Bacterial small subunit ribosomal RNA
Source: RNAcentral